This 383-nucleotide long non-coding RNA is filed under the name Arabidopsis lyrata. RNAcentral describes it as "long non-coding RNA (ALYR_LNC000740)". The record is from RNAcentral. Lineage: Eukaryota; Viridiplantae; Streptophyta; Magnoliopsida; Brassicales; Brassicaceae.
GGUUCUCCCGCUACCACCCGCAAACGCUGCGUUUGCGGGCGGUUGCGGUUGGUAGCGUUUAAAACCAAUCAUAAAAAACGUUUUAUACCGCUCCGAACCGCUCUAGACCGCUCCGAACCGCUGAAUUCAAAAGCUCCUUCCCGCAAGCGUUUGCGGUUGCGGGCGGUAGCGGUUGGCAAAAUUUUUUUUUUUAAAAUUCAAAUCCUAUAUAUAUUAAAAAAAUACAUAAAUAACAAAUAAAUUAUAAAAAUUUAUCAAACCCUAUAUAUAUUAACGUUAAUUCUCAAAACCCUAAUUUUUUCUAUUUACCAAAAUCAUGGUGUCAAUCUAAACUCAAAAAUGAUAAAAUACAAAUUAAGUAUUGUAAUAAAAUUAUUAAUCCA